GGAGGAGUGGCCGAGUGGUUGAAGGCGGCGGUCUUGAAAACCGUUGAGCGCAAGCUCCGGGGGUUCGAAUCCCUCCUCCUCCGCCA
This 86-nucleotide transfer RNA is filed under the name Nitrospirota bacterium. RNAcentral describes it as "tRNA-Ser". It matches the Rfam family "tRNA". Rfam says of the family: Transfer RNA (tRNA) molecules are approximately 80 nucleotides in length. The record is from RNAcentral. Lineage: Bacteria; Pseudomonadati; Nitrospirota.